AUGGACCGAGGGGAAUUCUUCCUAAGCAUGUCCAUCACCGGCCGACAAGUCCACUUCAGUUGGGAGGUGAUUUUUAUCUAUGGUCCUGUGGAUCAUGGACGCUCAGCUACCUUCCUUGCCGAGCUGAAAGAUAAGGUACAGAGGUGCACCACUCCGGUAGUGGUGGCUGGGAACUUCAAUCUCAUUAGGUGGGCUUCUGAUAAAAGCUCAACUAAUGUUGAUCAGGUCAGCAUGUGUCUAUUCAAUGACUGUAUUGCGAACCUUGCGCUUUGUGAGAUAGCCUGCGUAGGGGCUAGGUUCACUUGGACAAAUAAGGAGGCGGACCCCAUUCAGAGUGUCUUAGAUCGGGUCUUUGUGUUGGCCUAG
Molecule: ribosomal RNA, 366 nt
Filed under: Triticum aestivum (bread wheat)
Lineage: Eukaryota; Viridiplantae; Streptophyta; Magnoliopsida; Poales; Poaceae
Description: partial small subunit ribosomal RNA
Source: RNAcentral